GAGGAGUUCCCCUGCAAAAGCUCUUUCUCAUUCUCUCUCUUUCCCUGCUGCCAUCCACGUAAGAUGUGACUUCUGCCAUGAUUGUGAGGCUUCCCCAGCCACGUGGAACUGCCUGCAUGUGUUUCAGGUCACACUCAGGAGGACAGACAUGGGCAAGAGGCCUGCAGGUCUAGGAAGCAGGCUCAAGACCACUUGGGUGGGGAACUGUGGUUUCCCAGGUACCUGGAGCAUGGUCUAGGAGUGGGGCUUGCAAGCUCCAG
Molecule: long non-coding RNA, 260 nt
Filed under: Homo sapiens (human)
Lineage: Eukaryota; Metazoa; Chordata; Mammalia; Primates; Hominidae
Description: HSALNT0051445
Source: RNAcentral